UCGAUGUAUGACUUGUGUGGGGCGAGAGACACAACGUGGAACCGUAAUAGGAUCUGCAAGGGUUUCUCAAACCACAAAAGCCAUACACSGGUUGUAAGUCGCAUGGCGCUUAUCGAUGUAUGGCUUGUGUGGGGCGAGAGCACAACCUKGAACCCUAAUUGGAUCUGCMAGGGUUUCCCAAACCACACAAGCCAUACAUCSGUUGUWAGAMGCMUUCCAACCAAAAUUGUUGUWUUUCUUGGAUGUUGGCGAGAGGCACAACGUGAAUCCSUAAUAGGCCAUGGCGGGUGUCUUUUUAAGCAUCCAAACCAUACAACAAUUGGGGARGAUUCUUCUGGCGGGUUUCGUUCUCUUCGUAUCGUGC
This 364-nucleotide unclassified non-coding RNA is filed under the name Adeia whitneyi. Its description in RNAcentral is "Hazardia whitneyi partial external transcribed spacer". Lineage: Eukaryota; Viridiplantae; Streptophyta; Magnoliopsida; Asterales; Asteraceae. The record is from RNAcentral.